This is an RNA transcript of Trifolium pratense (red clover), 1792 nucleotides long. It is a transcript of the gene named peptidyl-prolyl cis-trans isomerase FKBP62-like, with no coding region annotated. The record is from RefSeq and is a predicted model, not a curated record. NCBI's taxonomy places the organism in Eukaryota, Viridiplantae, Streptophyta, Magnoliopsida, Fabales, Fabaceae. The transcript is spliced from 7 exons.
AUUGUUAUUACUACUAUUUCCUUUUUCAUUUCUUUGACGUAAGGAAAUAUCUCAAACACCACACAUCGUUAUCAUCAAUAUCGCGUCACCGAUUGCUCUCUCUCGCUUUCGCUCUCACUCCGAUCUUGCUCUGUUCACGAUUCUUCUCCGAUCUCACUCUCCCUUCGAUCUUGCUCCGAUCUCAAUCUCCUUCGAUCCUCUUCGCCGCAUUCCUCCUUCCUCGCGAUUGUUAUUCUUCGUUGAAAUUUGAUGUUGUAGUGCUCGAUUCUUCUCCGAUUUGGCGUGAUUUGUGAUUUGAUCAUCUUUGCAUAUUGUAUGCAACUAUGUUGAUGGAGCUAUAGGCUAUAGUAUGCAACUAUGUUGAUGAAGCUAUUGGAAGCAACUAUUCUUAUGUUCCGCUAUUGGAAGCAACUCAAAUGCAUAGUUUAGGGAAUAUACAAUUUAAAAAUUGUAUAGUCUCAUUAGUAGCCUUAUCAUCAUAUUAUGUGCUUAAAAUUUUAUUUAUGCUUUAAGUAGUUUUCAAUUGGACGAAUAUAUCAAGACAUGAUCUAUUAAUUAAUGUUUCCAUUCAACUUAAUCUUUAAUACAUUGAGCCUAUUAUCUAUCCUCUUUUGAUCAGGAACCGUAUAUGGAACCGUGGAUUUCCCCAAACUAACUUUUAAUGAAAGUGUGAAGCUUAGAGCUGGUGUUAACAAAAUCUCCCUUCUGAGUGUUGCAGUUGGGCUUCCGGUUCGUUUUCUCCCUCUCUAUUUGUGUCUUCCUGCACAUGGACUUGUCUAAAUAUAUUAUCUUUGCACAUCAAAACUAACUGAUUUUUCGGAAACAUAAACGGUAGUUGAUGUCAUGACUAUGUCUGAUUAGACGUGGUCGAGGGAGAAGUCGCAAUCCACCUCAGUCUUCCUUAGAUCUUUUUACAAUUGACAUAACAGUAAGUAUUGAUGUAUGAAUAUCAUCCAAUUUCUGUCACUAUGGUCUAUGAAGGAAAUUAAAGAUGUUGGUAAUCCAACAAUAUUGGCAUCCACUAGGCGACAAGCAUUUAGAGAUAGCCUAGAACAGAGAAUCCUCAAUGCUGAAACUUUCCCAUAUUAUGUAAGCGAUACAACAAAGAAUGUGUUGAUUAUUUCUACAUAUAUUCAUUUGAAGUGCAAUGGUUUUGAAAAAUAUGCUUCAGAUCUCCCGUCGGUGUGCCCACGGAUAUUGUUAUCUGGUCCUUCAGGUGAUCGAGUAAAAUUUGUCGGUAACUUUCCACCUGCUGUCUCAUCACUACAAAAUUAUUCUUCAAGUAUAUAGCAGUUGUGUUCGGAUAUCGGAUGAUUAACUAAUCAUGUAUAUGCCAGAAUAUGCAUUUGGUGAGAGUGGAAAACCUUCAUCAGGAGAUGAUGUUGUUGUGCCUCCCAAUGCUUCGCUCCAAAUGGAUCUUGGGUUAGUCUCGUGGAGGAUUGUAUCUGACAUUACUAAGGAUAGGAAGGUCCUUAAGAAGAUCUUAAAGGAAGGAGAGGGAAAUGAAAGACCAAAUGAUGGAGCUAUGGUUCUAGGUACAGUUUUGCUAAUAAAAACUUUUAAAGGUUUUUGUACUUUGAUUUCAUUUGUAAAGGUGAGAAUAUUAUGUCUUCAUUUUCUUUAGGUUUUUUAGUUUUGACAAAGUUGGAAGAUAUACUUGAUUACUUAUAUAAUGCUAACAUGUGUUUAGUUACUUUGUUAUGCGUAAAAUUUAGUCUUGUAGUUGUAAAUCAUGUUGAUUUAAUUAGGCUUAUUUCGAUUUUUUAAUAGAUGAUAAAUAAUUUAUAAUUAG